Molecule: long non-coding RNA, 738 nt
Organism: Cryptomeria japonica (Japanese cedar)
Lineage: Eukaryota; Viridiplantae; Streptophyta; Pinopsida; Cupressales; Cupressaceae
Exons: 3
Source: RefSeq, a predicted model, not a curated record
CUCCAAGCAAAAUAUGCAUAUGAAAAUUGUGCGAUUUGUUGUUGACUUCCACAUUCAGAGAGACUGCCUCUUCAGAUCUUUUGCAUCCUGGUUAUCUACUUCAUUGAAAACAAGCAAGGAUAUUAUGAAGUCGGCUGUAUUGUUUAUAGUGCUUUUGAAUUUGUGCAUGUAUACAAUAGUAUGCGCAACGACAGUGUGGGCAAUUGAACAUGAAAUCCUCACAGUGCUGGGAACUCCACUACCCAACCUAUAGUGGGCGGUCUACUUUCUGAUGGCUUCACUCUCUUGGCCAUGGGGUAGGCUAAAUUUGGGAAGAGUUUAAACAGACGGGUUAUUUGUUGUUUGUUGCAUAUUAAAUCUUAUUCAUCAUAAUUGUAAGUUGUUCACUUUCAACACUUAAAACUCACUGGAAUGACUAAUAUCGAGUCUACAAUUCAUGCAAAUUGGUGCGGAAGGAAAUCCAUUUGCACAGUUGAAACUCGCGUCUGAAAAUGGUGGAGUCAUACUCCAGGGUUGUCAUUCAAUUGCAUCGCUGGAUACAACGUACGAGAGUAUCAUAUUGAAAAGUGUUUACUUCAAUGGUUACCCAUUCUUGCAACCAUUGUUUUACAUUCCCAAAAACCAAAUGAUAGAUCUAUUUGAAGUUUCCUUCAACAAUUUUUAAGAUCAUCAGAAAUGUUGUUGCUUUAUUAUACUUGGAAUUUUCUAGCUUCUAUUGAUGGAAAAUUCUUCAAACUA